RNAcentral lists this ribosomal RNA (481 nucleotides) under uncultured bacterium. RNAcentral describes it as "bacterial SSU rRNA". It matches the Rfam family "Bacterial small subunit ribosomal RNA", at positions 28 to 507 of the family's 1533-position model. The record is from RNAcentral.
GAUGAACGCUGGCGGCGUGCUUAACACAUGCAAGUCGAACGGGGGUGCCUUUGAUUGAGACUUCGGUUGAUUGAUUAGGUUACCUAGUGGCGGACUGGUGCGUAACACGUGAGUAACCUGCCUUGGAGUGUGGAAUAACACAGCGAAAGUUGUGCUAAUACCGCAUAAUGUAGUUGUACCGCAUGGUGCCGACUACCAAAGAUUUAUCGCUCUGAGAUGGACUCGCGGCCGAUUAGCUAGUUGGUGAGGUAACGGCUCACCAAGGCGACGAUCGGUAGCCGGACUGAGAGGUUGACCGGCCACAUUGGGACUGAGAUACGGCCCAGACUCCUACGGGAGGCAGCAGUGGGGAAUAUUGGGCAAUGGGCGAAAGCCUGACCCAGCAACGCCGCGUGAAGGAUGAAGGUCUUCGGAUUGUAAACUUUAGUCGUCGGGGACGAGAACGGACGGUACCCGAGGUGAAGCCACGUCUAACUACGUG